Molecule: ribosomal RNA, 429 nt
Filed under: uncultured bacterium
Lineage: Bacteria
Description: bacterial SSU rRNA
Rfam family: Bacterial small subunit ribosomal RNA
Source: RNAcentral
UGGGGAAUUUUGCGCAAUGGGCGAAAGCCUGACGCAGCAACGCCGCGUGGAGGAUGAAGGUGCUCUGCAUUGUAAACUCCUGUCGGCCGGGAAGAAUCGGCGGGGUGCUAAUCAGCCCCGUCUUGACUGUACCGGCAAAGGAAGCCCCGGCUAACUCCGUGCCAGCAGCCGCGGUAAUACGGAGGGGGCAAGCGUUACUCGGAAUUAUUGGGCGUAAAGGGCGCGUAGGCGGUCUCGUGCGUCAGGGGUGAAAUCCCCGGGCUUAACCCGGGACGUGCCUUUGAUACGGCGAGACUUGAGUCCGGGAGAGGGGAGCAGAAUUCCCAGUGUAGCGGUGAAAUGCGUAGAUAUUGGGAGGAAUACCAGUGGCGAAGGCGGCUCCCUGGACCGGUACUGACGCUGAGGCGCGAAAGCGUGGGUAGCAAACAG